Long non-coding RNA from Apis laboriosa (Himalayan honeybee), 346 nucleotides. RefSeq lists it as uncharacterized. The transcript is spliced from 3 exons. The record is from RefSeq and is a predicted model, not a curated record. Lineage: Eukaryota; Metazoa; Arthropoda; Insecta; Hymenoptera; Apidae.
AGCAAAUUUUAAUUACAAGAAUAUUUAUCUCAUUUUCAUAUAGAAAGAAUUUAUAUAAAACAUAAAAUUGUAUUUACUUUUGUCCAAAUCCAAAAUUUGUGUUGCUUGAAGUUGCAGGUGUUCCAAAUGUUAAAUUGUUCUCAUUUGUACGAAAAUAGUUGCUAGAGCGCCAUCUAUAAUAUGUAAAGAUGUUUGAUUUAAAUUUAAACAUAAAUUCGGCUCUAGUACCGUUAAAAGUACACAUGAUAAAUGUCUGAGAGAUGAUAAAGGUGGAAGUGUUCCGCGCAAUCUAACUUCACUCCAUCCAACUCUAGUUUUACAAAUAUCAAUACAAUCAAAAUAUUUU